Molecule: ribosomal RNA, 468 nt
Filed under: uncultured bacterium
Lineage: Bacteria
Description: partial 16S ribosomal RNA
Rfam family: Bacterial small subunit ribosomal RNA
Source: RNAcentral
GACGAACGCUGGCGGCGUGCUUAACACAUGCAAGUCGAACGGAAAGGCCCUGCUUUUGUGGGGUGCUCGAGUGGCGAACGGGUGAGUAACACGUGAGUAACCUGCCCUUGACUUUGGGAUAACUUCAGGAAACUGGGGAUAAUACCGGAUAGGAGCUCCUGCUGCAUGGUGGGGGUUGGAAAGUUUCGGCGGUUGGGGAUGGACUCGCGGCUUAUCAGCUUGUUGGUGGGGUAGUGGCUUACCAAGGCUUUGACGGAUAGCCGGCCUGGGAGGGUAAGCGGCCACAUUGGGACUGAGAUACGGCACAGACUGCUACAGGAGGCAGCGGUGGCGAGUAUUGAACAAUGGGCGGAAGCCUGAUGCAGCAACGCCGCGUGCGGGAUGACGGCCUUCGGGUUGUAAACCGCUUUCGCCUGUGACGAAGCGUGAGUGACGGUAAUGGGUAAAGAAGCACCGGCUAACUACGUG